RNAcentral lists this ribosomal RNA (465 nucleotides) under Vreelandella stevensii. RNAcentral describes it as "partial 16S ribosomal RNA". It matches the Rfam family "Bacterial small subunit ribosomal RNA", at positions 338 to 795 of the family's 1533-position model. Lineage: Bacteria; Pseudomonadati; Pseudomonadota; Gammaproteobacteria; Oceanospirillales; Halomonadaceae. The record is from RNAcentral.
CCUACGGGCGGCAGCAGUGGGGAAUAUUGGACAAUGGGCGAAAGCCUGAUCCAGCCAUGCCGCGUGUGUGAAGAAGGACUUCGGGUUGUAAAGCACUUUCAGUGGGGAAGAAAGCCUUGGGGCUAAUACCCUCGAGGAAGGACAUCACCCACAGAAGAAGCACCGGCUAACUCCGUGCCAGCAGCCGCGGUAAUACGGAGGGUGCGAGCGUUAAUCGGAAUUACUGGGCGUAAAGCGCGCGUAGGCGGUCUGAUAAGCCGGUUGUGAAAGCCCCGGGCUCAACCUGGGAACGGCAUCCGGAACUGUCAGGCUAGAGUGCAGGAGAGGAAGGUAGAAUUCCCGGUGUAGCGGUGAAAUGCGUAGAGAUCGGGAGGAAUACCAGUGGCGAAGGCGGCCUUCUGGACUGACACUGACGCUGAGGUGCGAAAGCGUGGGUAGCAAACAGGAUUAGAUACCCCUGUAGUC